GCUGUGGAACUCCUACGGGAGGCAGCAGUGGGGAAUUUUGGACAAUGGGCGGAAGCCUGAUCCAGCCAUGCCGCGUGUGUGAAGAAGGUCUUCGGAUUGUAAAGCACUUUAAGUUGGGAGGAAGGGCAUUAACCUAAUACGUUAGUGUCUUGACGUUACCGACAGAAUAAGCACCGGCUGGCUCUGUGCCAGCAGCCGCGGUAAUACAGAGGGUGCAAGCGUUAAUCGGAAUUACUGGGCGUAGAGCGCGCGUAGGUGGUUUGUUAAGUUGAAUGUGAAAUCCCCGGGCUCAACCUGGGAACUGCAUCUAAAACUGGCAAGCUAGAGUAUGGUAGAGGGUAGUGGAAUUUCCUGUGUAGCGGUGAAAUGCGUAGAUAUAGGAAGGAACACCAGUGGCGAAGGCGACUACCUGGACUGAUACUGACACUGAGGUGCGAAAGCGUGGGGAGCAAACAGGAUUAGAAACCCCAGUAGUCCUACCACGU
This 485-nucleotide ribosomal RNA is filed under the name uncultured bacterium. RNAcentral's name for it is "bacterial SSU rRNA". It matches the Rfam family "Bacterial small subunit ribosomal RNA", at positions 327 to 800 of the family's 1533-position model. The record is from RNAcentral.